AGCGAACGCUGGCGGCAGGCCUAACACAUGCAAGUCGAACGAACCUUUCGGGGUUAGUGGCGGACGGGUGAGUAACACGUGGGAACGUGCCUUUAGGUUCGGAAUAACUCAGGGAAACUUGUGCUAAUACCGAAUGUGCCCUUCGGGGGAAAGAUUUAUCGCCUUUAGAGCGGCCCGCGUCUGAUUAGCUAGUUGGUUGAGGUAAUGGCUCACCAAGGCGACGAUCAGUAGCUGGUCUGAGAGGAUGAUCAGCCACAUUGGGACUGAGACACGGCCCAAACUCCUACGGGAGGCAGCAGUGGGGAAUCUUGCGCAAUGGGCGAAAGCCUGACGCAGCCAUGCCGCGGGAAUGAUGAAGGUCUUAGGAUUGUAAAAUUCUUUCACCGGGGACGAUAAUGACGGUACCCGGAGAAGAAGCCCCGGCUAACUGCGU
Molecule: ribosomal RNA, 433 nt
Filed under: uncultured bacterium
Lineage: Bacteria
Description: partial 16S ribosomal RNA
Rfam family: Bacterial small subunit ribosomal RNA
Source: RNAcentral